AGUUAUUUAGCUUAAAUUAAAAGUUUAUAUUUUGAAAAUAUAUGAUAGAGAAAUUUAAUAACUU
Molecule: transfer RNA, 64 nt
Filed under: Nesophrosyne sp. 21 GMB-2012
Lineage: Eukaryota; Metazoa; Arthropoda; Insecta; Hemiptera; Cicadellidae
Description: tRNA-Ser
Source: RNAcentral